UCGGGUUGUAAAGCACUUUUGUCCGGAAAGAAAACUUCGGCCCUAAUACGGCGGGAGGAUGACGGUACCGGAAGAAUAAGCACCGGCUAACUACGUGCCAGCAGCGCGGUAAUCGUAGGGUGCGAGCGUUAAUCGGAAUUACUGGGCGUAAAGCGUGCGCAGGCGGUUCGUUAAGACAGAUGUGAAAUCCCCGGGCUUAACCUGGGAACUGCAUUUGUGACUGGCGAGCUAGAGUAUGGCAGAGGGGGGUAGAAUUCCACGUGUAGCAGUGAAAUGCGUAGAGAUGUGGAGGAAUACCGAUGGCGAAGGCAGCCCCCUGGGCCAAUACUGACGCUCAUGCACGAAAGCGUGGGGAGCAAACAGGAUUAGAUACCCUGGUAGUCCACGCCCUAAACGAUGUCAACUAGUUGUUGGGUCUUCAUUGACUUAGUAACGUAGCUAACGCGUGAAGUUGACCGCCUGGGGAGUACGGUCGCAAGAUUAAAACUCAAAGGAAUUGACGGGGACCCGCACAAGCGGUGGAUGAAGGUGGAUUAAUUCGAUGCAACGCGAAAAACCUUACCUACCCUUGACAUGGUCGGAACCCUGCUG
This 591-nucleotide ribosomal RNA is filed under the name uncultured Burkholderia sp. RNAcentral describes it as "bacterial SSU rRNA". It matches the Rfam family "Bacterial small subunit ribosomal RNA", at positions 418 to 1003 of the family's 1533-position model. Lineage: Bacteria; Pseudomonadati; Pseudomonadota; Betaproteobacteria; Burkholderiales; Burkholderiaceae. The record is from RNAcentral.